AGGACGUGCUAAUCUGCGAUAAGCGUCGGUAAGGUGAUAUGAACCGUUAUAACCGGCGAUUUCCGAAUGGGGAAACCCAGUGUGUUUCGACACACUAUCAUUAACUGAAUCCAUAGGUUAAUGAGGCGAACCGGGGGAACUGAAACAUCUAAGUACCCCGAGGAAAAGAAAUCAACCGAGAUUCCCCCAGUAGCGGCGAGCGAACGGGGAGCAGCCCAGAGCCUGAAUCAGUGUGUGUGUUAGUGGAAGCGUCUGGAAAGGCGCGCGAUACAGGGUGACAGCCCCGUACACAAAAAUGCACAUGCUGUGAGCUCGAUGAGUAGGGCGGGACACGUGGUAUCCUGUCUGAAUAUGGGGGGACCAUCCUCCAAGGCUAAAUACUCCUGACUGACCGAUAGUGAACCAGUACCGUGAGGGAAAGGCGAAAAGAACCCCGGCGAGGGGAGUGAAAAAGAACCUGAAACCGUGUACGUACAAGCAGUGGGAGCACGCUUAGGCGUGUGACUGCGUACCUUUUGUAUAAUGGGUCAGCGACUUAUAUUCUGUAGCAAGGUUAACCGAAUAGGGGAGCCGAAGGGAAACCGAGUCUUAACUGGGCGUUAAGUUGCAGGGUAUAGACCCGAAACCCGGUGAUCUAGCCAUGGGCAGGUUGAAGGUUGGGUAACACUAACUGGAGGACCGAACCGACUAAUGUUGAAAAAUUAGCGGAUGACUUGUGGCUGGGGGUGAAAGGCCAAUCAAACCGGGAGAUAGCUGGUUCUCCCCGAAAGCUAUUUAGGUAGCGCCUCGUGAAUUCAUCUCCGGGGGUAGAGCACUGUUUCGGCAAGGGGGUCAUCCCGACUUACCAACCCGAUGCAAACUGCGAAUACCGGAGAAUGUUAUCACGGGAGACACACGGCGGGUGCUAACGUCCGUCGUGAAGAGGGAAACAACCCAGACCGCCAGCUAAGGUCCCAAAGUCAUGGUUAAGUGGGAAACGAUGUGGGAAGGCCCAGACAGCCAGGAUGUUGGCUUAGAAGCAGCCAUCAUUUAAAGAAAGCGUAAUAGCUCACUGGUCGAGUCGGCCUGCGCGGAAGAUGUAACGGGGCUAAACCAUGCACCGAAGCUGCGGCAGCGACGCUGAUGCGUUGUUGGGUAGGGGAGCGUUCUGUAAGCCUGCGAAGGUGUGCUGUGAGGCAUGCUGGAGGUAUCAGAAGUGCGAAUGCUGACAUAAGUAACGAUAAAGCGGGUGAAAAGCCCGCUCGCCGGAAGACCAAGGGUUCCUGUCCAACGUUAAUCGGGGCAGGGUGAGUCGACCCCUAAGGCGAGGCCGAAAGGCGUAGUCGAUGGGAAACAGGUUAAUAUUCCUGUACUUGGUGUUACUGCGAAGGGGGGACGGAGAAGGCUAUGUUGGCCGGGCGACGGUUGUCCCGGUUUAAGCGUGUAGGCUGGUUUUCCAGGCAAAUCCGGAAAAUCAAGGCUGAGGCGUGAUGACGAGGCACUACGGUGCUGAAGCAACAAAUGCCCUGCUUCCAGGAAAAGCCUCUAAGCAUCAGGUAACAUCAAAUCGUACCCCAAACCGACACAGGUGGUCAGGUAGAGAAUACCAAGGCGCUUGAGAGAACUCGGGUGAAGGAACUAGGCAAAAUGGUGCCGUAACUUCGGGAGAA
This 1649-nucleotide ribosomal RNA is filed under the name Escherichia coli. RNAcentral's name for it is "partial 23S ribosomal RNA". It matches the Rfam family "Bacterial large subunit ribosomal RNA", at positions 53 to 1744 of the family's 2925-position model. Lineage: Bacteria; Pseudomonadati; Pseudomonadota; Gammaproteobacteria; Enterobacterales; Enterobacteriaceae. The record is from RNAcentral.